UACGAAGGGGGCUAGCGUUGUUCGGAUUUACUGGGCGUAAAGCGCACGUAGGCGGAUCGUUAAGUCGGGGGUGAAAUCCUGGGGCUCAACUCCAGAACUGCCUUCGAUACUGGCGAUCUUGAGUCCGGAAGAGGUGAGUGGAACUCCUAGUGUAGAGGUGGAAUUCGUAGAUAUUAGGAAGAACACCAGUGGCGAAGGCGGCUCACUGGUCCGGUACUGACGCUGAGGUGCGAAAGCGUGGGGAGCAAACAGG
Molecule: ribosomal RNA, 253 nt
Filed under: uncultured bacterium
Lineage: Bacteria
Description: partial 16S ribosomal RNA
Rfam family: Bacterial small subunit ribosomal RNA
Source: RNAcentral